This 228-nucleotide ribosomal RNA is filed under the name uncultured bacterium. RNAcentral's name for it is "partial 16S ribosomal RNA". It matches the Rfam family "Bacterial small subunit ribosomal RNA", at positions 568 to 795 of the family's 1533-position model. The record is from RNAcentral.
UACGUAGGCGGAAUAUUAAGUCAGUGGUGAAAUCCUGCGGCUCAACCGUAGAACUGCCAUUGAUACUGAUAUUCUUGAAUAUAGUUGAGGUAGGCGGAAUGUGUAAUGUAGCGGUGAAAUGCUUAGAUAUUACACAGAACACCGAUUGCGAAGGCAGCUUACUAAACUAUUAUUGACGCUGAUGUACGAAAGCGUGGGGAGCGAACAGGAUUAGAUACCCUGGUAGUC